AUUCAGCAAAGCAGUUCAGUUUAAGCAGAGUAACUCAUUUAUAUGCUGCGUUGAGUGUUCCUGGUAAUGAUUUUGAAAACCCUCUCCCUUUUAUCUCAGGCCUACCUGUGGCUAUACCUUUAGAGAUUACCUUGCACAAUGUAUCAAGGGAUUGUGGGUAAGGAUGGCAAUGAGUGAAGAGUUGGUUCAGUUUUUCUUUUUAGAUUUGAAGAUUCUUGGAGGCUGUGAUGAGGUCACAAAAUUUACGCAUGC
RNAcentral lists this unclassified non-coding RNA (252 nucleotides) under Hevea brasiliensis (rubber tree). The record is from RNAcentral. Lineage: Eukaryota; Viridiplantae; Streptophyta; Magnoliopsida; Malpighiales; Euphorbiaceae.